RNAcentral lists this long non-coding RNA (2044 nucleotides) under Nicotiana benthamiana. RNAcentral's name for it is "long non-coding RNA (NBEN_LNC035874)". The record is from RNAcentral. Lineage: Eukaryota; Viridiplantae; Streptophyta; Magnoliopsida; Solanales; Solanaceae.
UGAUGUCUUUCAAUCACCUCCAGAAGGCCCAUCACUCUACCUCCUCCAAAGGCUGUAACCUGAGAAAAGGAAGUUAGUACAAAGAGCAAAGGUUUGCAGAGAAACAAAGACAAAAUAAUGAUUUAGGAAAUGCAAAUAAGUCCUCAAUUUUUGCUUCCAUAUAAAUUCUUAUACAAAUUCUUAUGUUGCCAGAGGUGGACCACAAACCAGAAGAACAACCAAAAACCUAGUGUAACCGCACAAAGUGGGGUCUAAGGAGGGUAGAGUGUAAGCUGCCUUACCCUUACCAUGAGAAGGUAGAAAGAUUGUUUCCGAUAGACCCCCGUAUGAAAAGAAGCAGUUAGUACUAACAGCAAAGGUUUGCAGAGAAACAAAGACAAAAUAAUGAUUUAGGAAAUGCAAAUAAGUCCUCAAUUUUUGCUUCCAUAUAAAUUCUUAUACAAAUUCUUAUGUUGCCAGAGGUGGACCACAAACCAGAAGAACAACCAAAAACCUAGUGUAACCGCACAAAGUGGGGUCUAAGGAGGGUAGAGUGUAAGCUGCCUUACCCUUACCAUGAGAAGGUAGAAAGAUUGUUUCCGAUAGACCCCCGUAUGAAAAGAAGCAAUAAAACAGCAAGAUAAGAUGAUAAUAACCGAAGCGAAAGAAUGAAAAUGAAAAUACAAGACCAAUACUAAAGCUAUCUUAUGGAAAGGAGACACGCACGACUACCUACUAACCUUCUAACCUAAUCCUCGACCUCCACAACCUCCGAUCAAAGGUCAUGUUUUCAAUAAGCUGAGGUUGCGCCACAUCAUGCCUAAUCACAUUUACCCAAUACUUAUUAGCCUACCCCUAACUCUCCUCAGCCCACCAUGGCUAGCCUCUCAUACCUACUCACCGGGGCAUCUAUGUUGAAACCAAAAGUGAAUCACAAUAAAAUUUCAUUUAUUUUACUAUCAUCUUUACACAUUAAACUGACAAAAAGGCAUAACCUAUGAUUUAAAAAAGUCUUCAAUAAAAAGACAUUGUUCUCUUUUUAUUGAUUAGAGAAAGUUCCUUCCAUUUGUACGUCGAGGUGCUGACUAUUUACAUUGAGAGUUAAAAAGUGCAUGAACCCUGGUCUCCCAUAGAUCCUAGAGAGUUAAGAGUUCCAAGAAUGGAGUUGAUAUUUUACACAUCUUUGUUUUCUUUUUCUUUUAUUUUUAUAGAUAAGUGAAUCAAAUACAUCUGUCAUGUUGCAUGAUGAAGUUAAAACACACAAGCAUUUGAGUGUGUUUUGCUUCCCUUCUGUUAGCACAUAGUGUUCCUCUCCUUCCAAAAGAUCCACAAAAUGCAUCCGAGUUCUAUUUCAAAUAUUGCCAAAUUCUUUCAGUCCUCCAACCUGACCAGCUCAAAAGCGCUUCCUUCAGAGAUCUUGGUAUCAACCACUUGAUAUAAGAAAAGUUAACGUAACAUGCUCCAUAUUCCAUAAUGGUGUUGCACUUAUACACUGCAAAAAUAGACGGUUUCUUUUCCCAUAUCAUCUCCAAGGACAGUCACAGUGACUCAUUUCCUUGCAAUGCAUGAUAAAAUAAGGCUUCACUGAGAAUCACCCACAACUUUUUACUCCCAACAUCAAGGAUAUGAAGUUAUAUUCAGCUGUUAGUUCCUUGACCUCUUCGGUUCUUCCAAUUAACAGGAUGUUCUGUCAAUAUUUCACAAUCCUGCUGAUAUCUUCUAAACUCUAGCCUCCAACCCUGUUGGGUAUUAUAUUAUAAGCUAUGUGUUAACUGCACAGUUAAAAAAAAUCAGAAACUUCCUCUUAAAGUGAGAUUUGUAAUAUUAAUCUUCUUGUCAUGUUAAUACAUAAGAAAACAGGAAAAACUCCACAGAUGGCUCAAUAAAAAACAACAGAAACUGUAGAACAGUUCUGCUUGCUUAUGCAUAUGGCUAUCAUCAUGCCAAGUUUCCCUCCUCAGUCUAUUAACAUCAAUUGAACAACAUUCGGACAGAGAAGAUUUCUUUUAGUAAAUGAUGAAAGCAUAGCUUAGUGCUAUAAUACAAUAAAGAUGGCAAAUGUAAA